This 498-nucleotide ribosomal RNA is filed under the name uncultured Bacteroidota bacterium. RNAcentral's name for it is "bacterial SSU rRNA". It matches the Rfam family "Bacterial small subunit ribosomal RNA", at positions 60 to 558 of the family's 1533-position model. Lineage: Bacteria; Pseudomonadati; Bacteroidota. The record is from RNAcentral.
AGUCGAACGGGAUUUAGUAGACAGCAAACCUCGGUGGAAGAUUACUAAUGAGAGUGGCGAACGGGUGAGUAACGCGUGAGCAACCUGCCUAUGACAGUGGGAUAGCCUCGGGAAACCGGGAUUAAUACCGCAUAAAAUCGUAGAAACACAUGUUUUAACGGUCAAAGAUUUAUCGGUCAUAGAUGGGCUCGCGUCUGAUUAGCUAGUUGGUGAGAUAACAGCCCACCAAGGCGACGAUCAGUAGCCGGUCUGAGAGGAUGAACGGCCACAUUGGAACUGAGACACGGUCCAAACUCCUACGGGAGGCAGCAGUGGGGAACAUUGCACAAUGGGGGAAACCCUGAUGCAGCGACGCCGCGUGAACGAAGAAGGUAUUCGUAUCGUAAAGUUCUGUCCUAUGGGAAGAUAAUGACAGUACCAUAGAAGAAAGCUCCGGCUAAAUACGUGCCAGCAGCCGCGGUAAUACGUAUGGAGCGAGCGUUGUCCGGAAUUAUUGGG